Molecule: ribosomal RNA, 460 nt
Filed under: uncultured bacterium
Lineage: Bacteria
Description: partial 16S ribosomal RNA
Rfam family: Bacterial small subunit ribosomal RNA
Source: RNAcentral
CCUACGGGUGGCAGCAGUGAGGAAUAUUGGUCAAUGGGCGGAAGCCUGAACCAGCCAAGUAGCGUGCAGGAUGACGGCCCUACGGGUUGUAAACUGCUUUUAUACGGGAAUAACGCGCCUUACGUGUAGGGCUUUGCAUGUACCGUAUGAAUAAGGACCGGCUAAUUCCGUGCCAGCAGCCGCGGUAAUACGGAAGUUCCGGGCGUUAUCCGGAUUUAUUGGGUUUAAAGGGAGCGUAGGCAGUAUGUCAAGCUUGCUGUGAAAUGUCCGGGCUCAACCCGGGCCUUGCAGCGCGUACUGGCGUGCGUGAGUCCGCGGAAGGCAGGCGGAAUGCGUCGGGUAGCGGUGAAAUGCUUAGAUAUCACGAAGAACCCCGAUUGCGAAGGCAGCUUGCUGCAGCGGAACUGACGCUGAUGCUCGAAAGCGCGGGUAUCGAACAGGAUUAGAUACCCCAGUAGUC